ACUCCUACCGGAGGCAGCAGUGGGGAAUAUUGCACAAUGGGCGAAAGCCUGAUGCAGCGACGCCGCGUGGGGGAUGACGGUCUUCGGAUUGUAAACCCCUUUCAGUAGGGACGAAGCGCAAGUGACGGUACCUGCAGAAGAAGCACCGGCUAACUACGUGCCAGCAGCCGCGGUAAUACGUAGGGUGCGAGCGUUGUCCGGAAUUACUGGGCGUAAAGAGCUCGUAGGCGGUUUGUCACGUCGUCUGUGAAAUCCCUCGGCUUAACCGGGGGCGUGCAGGCGAUACGGGCAGACUUGAGUACUACAGGGGAGACUGGAAUUCCUGGUGUAGCGGUGAAAUGCGCAGAUAUCAGGAGGAACACCGGUGGCGAAGGCGGGUCUCUGGGUAGUAACUGACGCUGAGGAGCGAAAGCAUGGGUAGCGAACAGGAUUAGAUACCCUGGUAGUCCAUGCCGUAAACGGUGGGCGCUAGGUGUGGGGUCCUUCCACGGACUCCGUGCCGUAGCUAACGCAUUAAGCGCCCCGCCUGGGGAGUACGGCCGCAAGGCUAAAACUCAAAGGAAUUGACGGGGGCCCGCACAAGCGGCGGAGCAUGUGGAUUAAUUCGAUGCAACGCGAAGAACCUUACCUAGGCUUGACAUAUAC
RNAcentral lists this ribosomal RNA (645 nucleotides) under Dietzia sp. RNAcentral's name for it is "bacterial SSU rRNA". It matches the Rfam family "Bacterial small subunit ribosomal RNA", at positions 335 to 991 of the family's 1533-position model. Lineage: Bacteria; Bacillati; Actinomycetota; Actinomycetes; Mycobacteriales; Dietziaceae. The record is from RNAcentral.